RNAcentral lists this long non-coding RNA (487 nucleotides) under Capra hircus (goat). Its description in RNAcentral is "lncRNA (ENSCHIG00000002485.1)". Lineage: Eukaryota; Metazoa; Chordata; Mammalia; Artiodactyla; Bovidae. The record is from RNAcentral.
AUGCUAGAGAAAAACAUGUGCAACAAGACCAAGGCUGGAGAACUGUGUGGUGUGUGUUUACAGAUAGAGAAACGGGGGAAAAAGCAAGUUGCCAAAACUGGAGGCAAGGCAAACAGAUAUCUGGGAAAACCUUGGUCUGAGGGGCAGAAGGAAACUCAAAUGGUGGCCAGCGAUAGCCAUGUAACAACUAGACAUCCCUGGACAUUUUUCUGGAUAUAUCUCAAUGAAGAGCAAAGAUGAUAAAGUUCCCAGUUUAAUAGAACUGUAAAUAAAAUGUUACUAGCUCCUGUAGAACACUGUCCUCGAAUGCAUCCUACGGUAAGAAAUUAUCUCAUAAUAAGUUUCUUAUAUUGCUCCUUUCUCCUCCAUACAAAUACUACCAACUUACUCUUUAUGGCCCAAUGCAAGUCUUGUGAUUUGACCACAUAGCCUUGCCUCAAUCAUAUUUCAUCUUCCUCUUAACUUUCAUAGCCUUUAUGACCUGUAC